RNAcentral lists this ribosomal RNA (497 nucleotides) under uncultured bacterium. RNAcentral's name for it is "partial 16S ribosomal RNA". It matches the Rfam family "Bacterial small subunit ribosomal RNA", at positions 28 to 507 of the family's 1533-position model. The record is from RNAcentral.
GAUGAACGCUGGCGGCGUGCCUAAUACAUGCAAGUCGAGCGAACAGAUGAGGAGCUUGCUCCUCUGACGUUAGCGGCGGACGGGUGAGUAACACGUGGAUAACCUACCUAUAAGACUGGGAUAACUUCGGGAAACCGGAGCUAAUACCGGAUAAUAUAUUGAACCGCAUGGUUCAAUAGUGAAAGACGGUUUUGCUGUCACUUAUAGAUGGAUCCGCGCCGCAUUAGCUAGUUGGUAAGGUAACGGCUUACCAAGGCAACGAUGCGUAGCCGACCUGAGAGGGUGAUCGGCCACACUGGAACUGAGACACGGUCCAGACUCCUACGGGAGGCAGCAGUAGGGAAUCUUCCGCAAUGGGCGAAAGCCUGACAGAGCAACGCCGCAUGAGUGAUGAAGGUCUUCGGAUCGUAAAACUCUGUUAUUAGGGAAGAACAAAUGUGUAAGUAACUAUGCACGUCUUGACGGUACCUAAUCAGAAAGCCACGGCUAACUACGUG